CGAGAAGUCGACUUAUUUUUCCACGUUGUCUCGAUAAAACGACAAUACGGUGAACCGGGAGUCCCAGUCUUUCACCAGACAGCGAUGCUCCGCUGCCACGGACCACAGACAGAGUGUCUGACCCAGACUGUGUCUGUUCUGGAGCAGCUCAAAGAACUGCAACAACCUCGCCAGAUUCACCAGGUGGACAAAGAUGCUGGUGGGAUGAAGGAUGAGGAAGCCCUGUCAAAGUCUCUUCCUCAUCUGGAGCCGUGUGGAGGCCAUCUUUACACUUUCUGCUCUUGCUCAGUUUCAUGCCGUUUUAUUUUCAUGACAAAAUCUUGUCAGAUCCUGAAUAAUUUUAUUGUAGAAUAUCAUUGUCAACAAAGAUUCUAUUUUUGUAUUAAACUGUUUGAAA
Long non-coding RNA from Salarias fasciatus (jewelled blenny), 397 nucleotides. RefSeq lists it as uncharacterized. The record is from RefSeq and is a predicted model, not a curated record. The transcript is spliced from 3 exons. NCBI's taxonomy places the organism in Eukaryota, Metazoa, Chordata, Actinopteri, Blenniiformes, Blenniidae.